AAGGAACUCGGCAAAAUGACCCCGUAACUUCGGGAGAAGGGGUGCUUUCUUAACGGAAAGCCGCAGUGAAUAGGCCCAAGCGACUGUUUAGCAAAAACACAGCUCUCUGCGAAGCCGUAAGGCGAAGUAUAGGGGGUGACACCUGCCCGGUGCUGGAAGGUUAAGGAGAGGGGUUAGCGUAAGCGAAGCUCUGAACUGAAGCCCCAGUAAACGGCGGCCGUAACUAUAACGGUCCUAAGGUAG
RNAcentral lists this ribosomal RNA (243 nucleotides) under Staphylococcus epidermidis CIM37. RNAcentral describes it as "partial 23S ribosomal RNA". It matches the Rfam family "Bacterial large subunit ribosomal RNA", at positions 1707 to 1959 of the family's 2925-position model. Lineage: Bacteria; Bacillati; Bacillota; Bacilli; Caryophanales; Staphylococcaceae. The record is from RNAcentral.